RNAcentral lists this ribosomal RNA (472 nucleotides) under uncultured bacterium. RNAcentral's name for it is "bacterial SSU rRNA". It matches the Rfam family "Bacterial small subunit ribosomal RNA", at positions 534 to 1008 of the family's 1533-position model. The record is from RNAcentral.
CCAGGCGUUAUCCGGAUUUAUUGGGUUUAAAGGGAGUGUAGGCGGUUUGUUAAGCGUGUUGUGAAAUUUAGGUGCUCAACAUUUAACUUGCAGCGCGAACUGUCAGACUUGAGUACACGCAACGUAUGCGGAAUUCAUGGUGUAGCGGUGAAAUGCUUAGAUAUCAUGAAGAACUCCGAUUGCGAAGGCAGCAUACGGGAGUGUAACUGACGCUUAAGCUCGAAGGUGCGGGUAUCGAACAGGAUUAGAUACCCUGGUAGUCCGCACAGUAAACGAUGGAUGCCCGCUGUUAGCGCCUGGCGUUAGCGGCUAAGCGAAAGCAUUAAGCAUCCCACCUGGGGAGUACGCCGGCAACGGUGAAACUCAAAGGAAUUGACGGGGGCCCGCACAAGCGGAGGAACAUGUGGUUUAAUUCGAUGAUACGCGAGGAACCUUACCCGGGCUUGAAUUGCAGAGGAAUUAUUUAGAGAUA